Molecule: long non-coding RNA, 687 nt
Filed under: Lupinus angustifolius (narrow-leaved blue lupine)
Lineage: Eukaryota; Viridiplantae; Streptophyta; Magnoliopsida; Fabales; Fabaceae
Description: long non-coding RNA (LANG_LNC003177)
Source: RNAcentral
AGCCUCUGACCAAAGCCAUACGAUUCUAGAUGCAAUAACAAAAAAUACUCCAGCACAUCAUUAUUGCAUAUAUCUUUAGAGUCUCACCACAUAGAUCUACAAGGUCAGAUGGAGCACACUUUUCAAAGAAUUGACAUAAGGUGUUAAACAAGAAACAAAUGGAACAAAUAAGCAGUGACUUGAUAAGAAAGAAAUUACACGGCAAACCAUGCAGAUUCACAUUCGGUUGAAUAGAAGGUUCAAUCUGCCUGCAGAUUAGGUGCAAGAAUCCCAUUAAGAAUAGGAAAAACUUAAUGAUCAUAUAAAAAAUUGGAAAGAAAACAAGCAGAGUUCUCCAAACCAAAGACGUAGAUUAUCCAAACAAAGACCAUAAGAGAUUGAAACAAACACUUCAUAUACACACAUAGACAGAGAAGAACAAGAAGAUCCGUAUCGUAAGUAACAAACCUAGGUCAAAACAGAACAACAAAACAAAUGAAAAUUUCAAGAGUUUUUUGAGAGGAUAAAAUUCAUGUCACCGAAUUAUGCAGUUGUCUUCAAUAACUGCAUUAGGCGAAAUAGUUAGCUGGCACCAACUGCAAAACGAACAGCUACAUGAUUGAAUCUGAAGCCAUCACAAGCGAUAAAAGAAUCAAGAAAGAAAAACUCAUCAAUAAAAUUUAGUUACUGGUCCUGAACCCCUUAGCC